GCAUGUGAUUCCUUCGGGAAUUAAAGCUUCGGCGGUUUGGGAAAUGGCCUGCGUCCGAUUAGCUUGUUGGUGAGGUAAAAGCUCACCAAGGGCGACGAUCGGUAGCUGGUCUGAGAGGAUGAUCAGCCUGACUGGAACUGAGAACGGUCCAGACUCCUACGGGAGGCAGCAGUAGGGAAUUUUCCACAAUGGGCGAAAGCCUGAUGGAGCAACGCCGCGUGCAGGAUGAAUGCCUUCGGGUUGUAAACUGCUUUUAUUAGUGAAGAAUAUGACGGUAACUAAUGAAUAAGGGUCGGCUAACUACGUG
Molecule: ribosomal RNA, 307 nt
Filed under: uncultured bacterium
Lineage: Bacteria
Description: bacterial SSU rRNA
Rfam family: Bacterial small subunit ribosomal RNA
Source: RNAcentral